GCCGGUGUGUCGGAAUGGCAGACGAUGCAGACUCAAAAUCUGUUGGGUGUACGCCCGUGCGGGUUCAAGUCCCGCCACCGGCA
RNAcentral lists this transfer RNA (83 nucleotides) under Agathobacter rectalis. Its description in RNAcentral is "tRNA-Leu". It matches the Rfam family "tRNA". Rfam says of the family: Transfer RNA (tRNA) molecules are approximately 80 nucleotides in length. Their secondary structure includes four short double-helical elements and three loops (D, anti-codon, and T loops). The record is from RNAcentral. Lineage: Bacteria; Bacillati; Bacillota; Clostridia; Lachnospirales; Lachnospiraceae. RNAcentral also lists the same sequence under 9 other names.